GAAGUGGCGCAAUGGGUCUGUGCAUCUGGCUGUUAACCAGAAGCGUUGGUGGUUCGAGCCCACCCAGGGACA
Molecule: non-coding RNA, 72 nt
Organism: Podarcis lilfordi (Lilford's wall lizard)
Lineage: Eukaryota; Metazoa; Chordata; Lepidosauria; Squamata; Lacertidae
Source: the annotation of a GenBank genome assembly